RNAcentral lists this ribosomal RNA (253 nucleotides) under uncultured bacterium. RNAcentral describes it as "partial 16S ribosomal RNA". It matches the Rfam family "Bacterial small subunit ribosomal RNA", at positions 524 to 776 of the family's 1533-position model. The record is from RNAcentral.
UACGGGGGGGGCAAGCGUUGUUCGGAAUUACUGGGCGUAAAGGGCUCGUAGGCGGCCAACUAAGUCAGACGUGAAAUCCCCAGGCUCAACCUGGGAACUGCGUCUGAUACUGGAUGGCUUGAAUCCGGGAGAGGGAUGCAGAAUUCCAGGUGUAGCGGUGAAAUGCGUAGAUAUCUGGAGGAAUACCGGUGGCGAAGGCGGCAUCCUGGACCGGCACUGACGCUGAGGAGCGAAAGCCAGGUGAGCAAACGGG